This is a long non-coding RNA of Haemorhous mexicanus (house finch), 3337 nucleotides long. RefSeq lists it as uncharacterized. The transcript is spliced from 6 exons. NCBI's taxonomy places the organism in Eukaryota, Metazoa, Chordata, Aves, Passeriformes, Fringillidae. The record is from RefSeq and is a predicted model, not a curated record.
CAGAUACUGCCAUUUUCCGAAGGCGGCGUGUAGAGGUGGAUUCUGUCACACGUCAUCUGCUGGCUUAAGGAUAAGAUAAGAGCAGCAAAGUACACUGGAAGAAAUGGAAUUAAUAGUUUCAGGUAAGAUGACAAUUCACCAGUUCACACAAGGAGGAGGAGUACAGAAGACAGUAGGAAGAAAGAGUAAAAAAUCAGGUACAGCAUCACGAUCAGUUCCACAGAAUGCAAUUAUUUUACCUUGGCACUGGAGGAAGGGCACGGGGCGGGCACUGAAAGACAAGAGAGAGACAAAAGUCAACUUCUGCCAGUAUGAAACCACCUCUCAGAAAACAGCUUCAGAUCAGAACAUCCAAGGCAGCAAGACAGCUACAAAUAGGAGGUGGAGAGAGUGAGGAACUAACUUAGUUGCCACAAGCAUCGCAUCCUUUGAUGAGGAGACCGUGCUACCACAGACCAACAAGAGCAAGGUUUUCUGAUUAUCUUCCUCUUUGGAGUGGUACAACCAUGAAAAUGGCACAGAGACUUGGUAUGAUUACACACAUCAAUACCUCACUGGCUGGCACUUAACAGUCAAGAACCCUGAAAAAUUGUGCACAAAAUGACAAAACAGGGACACUUCAAAAGAUUUCUUCAUGAGAAUUUUGACAACAGUAAUGACACUGCCCUUUUCGUGCAAGGGAAUGUGCUGCAUUUUGUACUACUGCAAUUUGGGAUAUCCAGGUAUUGGUGCCAAGAACACAUAAUGAAAACUGGAUUUCUUCAUCAACUCAGUCUAAAACGGCAAAUUCAUCUGAAAAUCUAUGAAGUCAGAAUGAAAGUCACUGCAAUGCAUUACUGUUUACAAUGCUGUCCCAUGUGCACAUCAUCUUGCUCUACAAUGGAAGAUUAACUGUAGAAGCUAAGGUAUUUUCUUACUUCAAAUAUCUUAGUUCAAGUUCAGUUUUAUGUAUCACUUUGUUUAAAUUCCACGUACCACUUCUGUCUGCCAGCCCACCGUGGAUCACACGGGCAACUGUUAUGUCACCGGUUAUCUCAUGGCGUUUAAUGGUGGCACCCUGGCAGGUAAGAACAAAGAAAAAACACAUUGAUCACCAAAGGACCCCAGUAAGUUUCCUUCCAUAUCACAAGUCUGAUCUUCAGGCUGACUCAAAGACAUUGAGGGAUACAGCCUUUUUACCACAACAUGGAUAUAGUGAUAACCACAGAAUUGUGGAAUAAGCUGAGUUGGAAGGGACCACAAUGAUUACUGAGUCCCACUCCUGGCCCUGCACAGCACCAUCCCCAAGAGUCACACCCUGUGCCUGAGAGCAUUGUCCAAAUGCUUCCUAAGCUCUGUCAGACUUGGUGCUGGGACCACUUCUCUGGGGAGCCCAUUCCAGUGCCCAAGCACAUUCUGGGUGAAGAAUCUUUUUCUAAUAUCCAAUCUAAAACCUCCCCUGACCCAACUUCAGGCCAUUCACUCUGGUCCUGUCACUGGUCACCAGCAAGAAGAGAUCAGUGCCUGCCCCUCCUCUUCCCCUUACAAGGAAGUUGUGACUGCAGUGAGGUCUCCUCCAGGCUGAACAGACCAAGUGACCUCAGCCACUGCUCACAUGGCUUCUCCUCAAGGCCCUUCACUAUAUUCAUGGCCCUCCUUUGGACACUCUGUAAUAGUUUCAUGUCUUUCCUAUAUCGUGGCACCCAAAACUGCCCCCAGCACUCGAGGUGAAGCUGCCCCAGUGCAGAGCAGAGCAGAGCAGGACAAUCCCCUCCCUUGCCCAGCUGGAGAUGCUGUGCCUGAUGCCCCUGCAGGACACAUUUGGCCCUCCUGGCUGGAGGGCACUGCUGGUUCACAUCCAACUUGCCACUGACCUAUACCCCCAGGUCUACUGCUUUCUAGCGCCUCAUUCCCCAGUCUGUCCAUACAUCUAAGGCUGCCCCAUCCCAGGUGAAGAAUCCAGCACUUUCCCUUGUGGAACUUCACAUGGUUGGUGAUUGCCCAGCCCUCUCCUUUAUCGAGGUCUCUCUGCAGGGCCUCCUGGCUCUCAAGGGAGUCCACAGCUACUCCCAGUUUUGUAUCUUCUAGGAACUUGCUCAGUACCCUUUCCAGUCCUGUGUCUAGGUCCUUUAUGAAGCUGUUGAAGAGCACAGGGCUAAGGAUGAAGCCCUGCAGAACUAUAAGCCCAGUCACUAUAAGUCUUUUUGCCCAACCCAUAAGCCACUUGCUCACCCAUCCCAUAAUGUGUUUAUCCAGCUGUGUGCUGGACAUUUUGUCCAGAAGGAUACUCUGAGAGACAGUAUUGAAAGCUUUGCUGAAUUCCAGAAGGAUUACAUCAAUUGGUUUCCCCUGAUCAGCUAGCUGGGUUACCUUGUCAUAAAAAGAAAUCAGGUUUGAUAAACAGGACUUUCCCCUCACAAAGUGCUGGCUGUGACCAAUGACUGUGUUGUCCCUCAGGUGUUUUUCAAUACCUCCCAGAAAAAUCUUCUCCGAAACUUUACCAGGCACUGAAGUGAGACUGACAGGCCUGUAGUUUCCAGGGCCGUAAUGUAUUAGUACAAAGUCCUUCAAUGUCUUCAACUUCCAUCACACUAAAAUAACCUCUCUGACUGACAGUUAGAAAUCUUUUUCGUCCCUGAUAUUACAGCUGUCUUUCUCUAAAACAGAUUAGCUAAGCUAUGCAAUGUUUGCUGCUCAUAAGUACAAAUGAUUACUGAAGAACUCUCCUCACUUCCUUUCUGUUUUGGCCAUGGGAAUAACUCUCAAUCCAGUUUGUUUUUAUCUCAUAUAAUGAAAAUACAUCUGCCAAAUGUUCAAACCCUGAGCAGACAAGGCACCGAACAACCUACACCCACACCAUGCAUGGCUAGAUGGCCUUCUCAGAUCCUUUCCAAUCUCAACAAUUCUUGUGAUUCUGUAAAAUCUGGACAAGAAUGCACACAAUCCCCAUGACAUUCCUGGGAAGAAACCAAUAUGCAUCCAAUGCAUUAUUAAUUCUUUCUAAGUUAAAAAAAUUUGACAGACACAAGAAAGGUCCCUCACCAGAGGUUGGUUGUUUUUCACUAAGCAGACAAUCCUCAUAGCUUCUUCAUUUUCAGGUAUGUUGUCUGGCAGUGGUGGAAGGGUUGGUUCAAAAUCUUUCUGGGCCACGGUAUCAUGAGCAGAUAGCAAGGCCUGUUACAAAUGAAAACAAGGAAACCAACCAACCCAUAAGCAAAGAUCAAUAGCAGAGCUUUAAACAGUGACAGGUCAGAAACCAGAAAUCACUGCAUGUGUUCUUUCGUGAACACAGAUCCCUUGCAUAUAUUGACAUUUUCUUCUUUCCACCAAUAAAAGCAAACCAUGAAAGUUUUAAGAA